GGUAGGGUCGCCUAGUCUGGCCGAGGGCGGCGGUCUCGAAAACCGCUAGGGAGGCAACUCCCUCGUGGGUUCAAAUCCCACCCCUACCGCAA
This 92-nucleotide transfer RNA is filed under the name Actinomycetes bacterium. RNAcentral's name for it is "Actinobacteria bacterium tRNA-Ser". It matches the Rfam family "tRNA". From Rfam's summary of the family: Transfer RNA (tRNA) molecules are approximately 80 nucleotides in length. Their secondary structure includes four short double-helical elements and three loops (D, anti-codon, and T loops). The record is from RNAcentral. Lineage: Bacteria; Bacillati; Actinomycetota; Actinomycetes.